This 65-nucleotide transfer RNA is filed under the name Dipodomys ordii (Ord's kangaroo rat). It matches the Rfam family "tRNA". From Rfam's summary of the family: Transfer RNA (tRNA) molecules are approximately 80 nucleotides in length. Their secondary structure includes four short double-helical elements and three loops (D, anti-codon, and T loops). Further hydrogen bonds mediate the characteristic L-shaped molecular structure. tRNAs have two regions of fundamental functional importance: the anti-codon, which is responsible for specific mRNA codon recognition, and the 3' end, to which the tRNAs corresponding amino acid is attached (by aminoacyl-tRNA synthetases). tRNAs cope with the degeneracy of the genetic code in two manners: having more than one tRNA (with a specific anti-codon) for a particular amino acid; and 'wobble' base-pairing, i.e. permitting non-standard base-pairing at the 3rd anti-codon position. Lineage: Eukaryota; Metazoa; Chordata; Mammalia; Rodentia; Heteromyidae. The record is from Rfam by way of RNAcentral.
GGUGGCUCAGUGGUAGAGCGCUUGCCUUCAAUGCCUGAGGCCCUGGGUUCGAUUCCCCAGCACCA